This 207-nucleotide ribosomal RNA is filed under the name uncultured bacterium. RNAcentral's name for it is "partial 16S ribosomal RNA". It matches the Rfam family "Bacterial small subunit ribosomal RNA", at positions 568 to 774 of the family's 1533-position model. The record is from RNAcentral.
CACGUAGGCGGUCUGUUAUGUCGGAUGUGAAAGCCCUUGGCUCAACUGAGGAAGUGCACCCGAAACUGGCAGGCUAGAGUACGAAAGAGGAUCGCGGAAUUCCCGGUGUAGAGGUGAAAUUCGUAGAUAUCGGGAGGAACACCGGUGGCGAAGGCGGCGAUCUGGGUCGAUACUGACGCUGAGGUGCGAAAGCGUGGGGAGCAAACA